Small nuclear RNA from Ictidomys tridecemlineatus (thirteen-lined ground squirrel), 191 nucleotides. Its record names the gene U2. It matches the Rfam family "U2 spliceosomal RNA". From Rfam's summary of the family: U2 is a small nuclear RNA (snRNA) component of the spliceosome (involved in pre-mRNA splicing). The record is from Ensembl. Lineage: Eukaryota; Metazoa; Chordata; Mammalia; Rodentia; Sciuridae.
AUCGAAUCUUGGCCUUUUGGCUAAGAUCCAAUGUAGUAUCUUUUCAUAUUGGUUUAAUAUCUGAUAUGUCCUCCAUCAUAGAAUAAUAUGUUUAAUGGAUUUCUGGAGCAGGGAGAUGGAAUAGGAGCUUGCUCUAUCCAUUCCAUGCAUUGAUGUGAUAUUGCAAUAUCUCCAGCAAUGGUGCACCCACU